UAGAUUAACUCAAUAAAUUUCAUUCACUCCGCAUACUCAAUCCUAUAGACGCCCUUUUAAUCCUUCAAUCACAGACGUAACUCGAUUUCAUAAAACAGUCAAGAGUAUUCAAACCCACUUCAUUAAAAAUCUCGAUUCACCAUUACAAUACUGACUUCAGCAGCGAUUGCCUCAGCCUUCCCAAAACUCUACGAAGAAGAAAAAUCCAAAUUCUCUAUCUUUCCUUC
This 227-nucleotide long non-coding RNA is filed under the name Physcomitrium patens. RNAcentral describes it as "long non-coding RNA (PPAT_LNC008301)". The record is from RNAcentral. Lineage: Eukaryota; Viridiplantae; Streptophyta; Bryopsida; Funariales; Funariaceae.